ACGUUCAUUUGAGUGCUAAAAUUUCACCGUCGAAGAUGGCCUCAUCGUCGAAGCGUGCACGGGUGAGCUUUAUCUCCGCAGAGAUUGCUUUAGAAAAAAAUAUUUUAUGAUGAAGACACCGCUGAUGGGAUGGACAGUGGAGAAGAAAGUGAUUUAGACCGGCAGAUCGAGCGAGGGAGAAGUUGAAGAUGACGAUCGGCCGGAGGAGGCUUGCGCUUCGACUUAGGAACCCAUGGCUCCUGAUUUUCAGGAAAUGUUGCUGAAAAGAUUUUCAGGAAAUGUUGCUGACAUGUCAAUAAUUAACUUCUGUUGUCAAUUAAUCUUGAGUAACCUAUACCUGUGAGGAAAAGUGACUUUUGACCUCAAGUUUUACACUAUGUCUUACUUAUUUUGUGUUUUAAAUUUUACUUUUUAGGAAAGUCCUGGGUUUCAAUAAUGAAUUUUUUUUUUCCUGAGAAGCCCAUUCUAUACACUUUAAAAUGACAUAUUGUAGGUGUUAUUCCUGUAAAUAUUUGUUGAGAUAUGAAUUAAAAACUGA
This is a long non-coding RNA of Pocillopora verrucosa, 538 nucleotides long. RefSeq lists it as uncharacterized. Lineage: Eukaryota; Metazoa; Cnidaria; Anthozoa; Scleractinia; Pocilloporidae. The record is from RefSeq and is a predicted model, not a curated record.